CCUCUCUAGGAGCUGGGAUUACAAGCACCCGCCACCACCACGUUUUUUUGUAUUUUUAGUAGAGAAAGGGUUUCACCAUGUUGGCCAGGCUGGUCUCAAACUCCUGACCUCGUGAUCUGCCCGCCUCGACCUCCCCAAGUGUUGGGAUUACAGGCAUGAGCCACCAAAAAUUUGAAUUGUCCAUGUACUCUAUGAUUUUUAAAACUGUCUUCAAAGCCAUUUUGAAAACAAGUGCUCAACGUUUUGGGGGAGAAUUUUUAUUGAUUAGCUGCCAUGAAAUCACUCAUCAUACUUCUGGUAAGCUGCCAUCUGAAGAGGCAUGAAAAAGUUCCGUGGUGUCUGCUGAGUGUUCUCGGUUAAUCCAGUCCAAAUUAUUAAGCCUUCAUAAUCCUCCAAGACACGUAAUCAGAUAAGACUGCAACUGAUUUGAAGAAAUCCUUAAUUGCAGAAAUCAUCAAGCCUUGCUCUUCUGCUGGGCGAGAUGAAAGCGUUCAUCUUCUCCGGAGAACACACGAAGUCCUCACCUUGCAAGCAGAGACCAGGCCCUCCCCAGACACUGAGCUUGGUGGCACUUGGAUUUUGGACUUCCAGCCUCCAAAAUUGUGAGAAGUCCCAGCUGGUGAAUAUCCAGGUAAAGAUUCUGACCUUGCCUUCUGGAAGCUAAUACUCUAAUUGGGAAGAAAAGUUAUAAAUGCAUAUAAACCCACUAAGCAGAGUGAUAUGAAGGUAAUCACAGAGAGUCUGACAUGAUAGAACAAGCCUUCUGGAUUGGUCUGAUAAGCACUGGGACACCAUUGUAAAAAGUGCUGAAUAUCACAGAACACAAAGAAAAGAGAAAGAGAAACUGACAGAGCCUAUAAAUGUUGCACGAAGGUUCAGAUACAUACAGUUCUGCUGGCUUUUUAAGGAGCAGUGUUUCCUAUAUCCUAAGGCAGAUGGACAUGUUGGGAUGGAGGGACAUGGAUGGAGCUGGAAGCCAUUAUCCUCGGAAAAUUAACACAGGAACAGAAAACCAAACACUGCAUGUUUGUGGGAGCUGAACAAUGAGAACACAUGGACCCAGGGAGGGGAACAACACACACUGGAGCCUGUUGGCGGUAGUGGGGGUAUGAGGGAAGGAAGAGCAUCAGAAAAAAAUAACUAAUGUAUACUGGGCUUAAUACCUAGGUGAUUGGUUGAUAGGUGCAGCAAACCACCAUGGCACACAUUUACCUAUGUAACAAGCCUGUUGCACAUGUAUCCCGGAAUGUAAAAUAAAAUAAAAUAAAAUAAAUAGUACCCCAAAUGCAGUGCAGGACUCUGGAUUCAAUUCUGGAACAGAGAAAGGACAUUUGUGGGAAAAAAAGGGGUGCAAUCUAGGGUCUUUAUAUAUAGAUAAUGGUACUGUAUCAAUGUGAAUUUCUUAGUUUUGACUAAUGCACUAUGGUUAUGUAAGAUAUUAGCAUUAUGGGAUGCUGGUCAAGGCCAGAUGGUGACUUUCUGCACUCUUUGUAAUGUUUUUGUAAAUCUAAAAUGAUUCCAGAAUAAAAGGUGUAUUUAAGAAAUGGGGGAAAAAGAUAAGCAGCUCUGGGCCUUGGAGAGAGAUACAAAAAUUAGUAGCAAUUGAAAAUAAUUGAAGCCUCACCAGUAAAUAAGACAAUACAGAAAGAGUGACAGAACCUUCAUGAAUUCAUGAGAAUAAAUGCUAAAUUGCCGUAACUUAAAGACCCUGUAAUACCUUGACUCAGAGGACAAAGAAGUUUCAUUUUUUCUUCCUUAACAGUCCCAAUGUGAAGAGACUCAGCUGGUAGGAUAGCUCAACUCUACUUAGGCUUUUAGGGACAGUUAUGUUUGGGUGAUCUGCAAUCCCAUAGGUGUCAUCGCUAGCCUGGUUAAAACUAGAGUACUGCCUUCUUUGUAUUCUUGUCAUUUGUGCCAAUCAAUUGUAACUGGAGAGAGAGAAUAAAAAAGAGUGUAUCUACAGGUGCAUAUUAGUUCACAGGUUUGGUGGUAGAAGUUAAGGAAACUUCCCUCUGUGAAGGAACAAAAUCAAAGUCAUCUGUUUGCGAUCAAGAGGGGCAUGGCAGGGUUAUAC
RNAcentral lists this long non-coding RNA (2074 nucleotides) under Homo sapiens (human). RNAcentral describes it as "HSALNT0109953". Lineage: Eukaryota; Metazoa; Chordata; Mammalia; Primates; Hominidae. The record is from RNAcentral.